GGCCCCCAAACAUCCAGCUGCUGGUUCUCCUUGGCAGCCAAGAACCAAAGACAGCUCUUCAUUUCAGCCCUAGGUCCUUGGCAGUUCCCGCCGGUGACUCCACAGUAAAAUGGAAAUACCUAAUUAAGUGACUCUCUGGUGAAGCAUGCAUAUAUCAUCACCUUAUCUAGAAAAAGAUUUCCAUCAGCUGCACCUUUUCCCCGUCUCCGUCUCGGAGGGGUUAACCCGGCCAGGCUUUUUCUCGCCCGCCUCAGUUGUGUUGCAAUGUUAUUUCUUACCAGGUGAUAGACAGGGCCUCUCCCCCCUCGGGUUUGUCCUCUAUUCCAUGGAGGCAGCACUUGCGAGGCCCUCGGGCCUUUCGGGGAGCCCACAUCCUCCGGGGCUAUGUGUCAGGGGUGUGUGUGAGGGCAUUCCUCGUUGUCAUCCCGAGUGGCUCCUAACAUGCCCUGCCUAGUACAGCCGCCAUAGUCAUUACAGGGAGUGUCUGCACAGUGAGUCCCCCCAGGGAGCCCUGACAUUGAUGUAAUGCUCACCCCCCUCCCGCCCCCGUGUGUUCAGAGCAACUGCAAAGCUCUCGGUAAUAAUGGUGAAGGAAAUUGAUUUCAUCCUCUCCCCGCCCCCUUUCUUCGCACAUCAGAAAGGAGGGAUCCUAAUGGGCCCUGAUGCUAUCUGGGUGAUUGGGCAGAAAAGGGCAGCCCGGCUUGUCAGCGUUUCACUUUCCACUCUUCAUCUAUUCCGGAUUUUAGUUUUUCCAGAAGAGGAAUCUGACUGGCAGGCUUCACCGGGUCCUGGGUCAACAACCCAGCGGUGAAUGGGCUGCCCGGGCAGCGAGUGCCCACCUGAAGAGUAAGCACGUGGAAGGAGAGCUACACGUUUUGCAUUACGGGGACUGCAGGACUCAUAACGCUUAAGCCCCCUUCCAGUUCUGAGAAUCUUGGGGGCAUUUGAGUCAGCAGAACUAUUCCACAGAAUCACACGCUUUACACUAUUCACACAUGUUAGACCCAACAUCCAUGCUAAGGCAGCUGAUUAAUCUUGUCCAAUCACGACCGCACUAAUCUCUUUGCCAGAAUUUGGCUCAGGAAUACGUAGAUUUACUCCCUGUUUGGAUCAAGAAGAUAAAGAAAUAUAUUUGUGUUUUCUAGGAAAAGAGUCCUUAAGACUAAGGCCUGGGAAGCUUCUCUUUAUUUCCAACUGGACAUGAACACGAAGGUAUUUUUAGCUCAAGUUUCUCUGGAUGACAUCUUGUACCCAUGAGGGGAGACAAACUGAAGCUAAGUAGAUCCAGAGCCCUGAUCACACCGUUCCUGAAGCCUACCUCUAGACUUUCUGUUGUAUUAGGACAAUUAUUUUGUUUAAGCCACUUUAGCUCAUGGUUCUGUUACUUGCUGCCAGAUGCUUGAGAACCAUACGCAGCUACAGCCAAGUUCCUUUCUCCCCCAAAGUCCCUUCACUGCCCCCAAGGCAUUCCCAAGCUCAGAACCCUUAAAUCUUCAAUGGCUGCCAUUGUCUAAGGAUGCCAAUCCAAACUUCUGAGCCUAGAGAUCCAGAGCUCUAAUGCAAGGCCUGGGAUGAGGGGACUCUGCUUCUUAGCACUGAUCACUGUAUCCUCAGAGCUUUUGCUGUUCUGGGCUGCAGGACCCUUAAAGAACCAUGCCUCCUCCACAUCGUAGACACUGGGUCCAGCCCUCCUGGAUGCUACCAUAACAAAUUACCGCGAGCCGGGGGCCCCACACAGCAGACGUGUAUUUUCUCACAGCUCAGGAGGCCAGAAGUCUGAAAUCAAAGUUUCCGCUGGAUGGGCUCCUGUUGGGAGCUCUGAGCGAGAAUCUGGCCUGUGCCUUUCUCCCAGCUUCUGGUGGCUCCUGGCAAUCUUCGGCCUUCCUUGGCUUGUAGAUGAUCCCUUCACAUGGCUGUGUGUGUGUGUGUGUGUGUGUGUGUGUGUGUGUGCGCGCGCGCGUGUGUGAGUGUGUGACUGUGUGAGUGCCUGCCUCCUCCUUUUGUAAGGACAGCAGUCACUGGGCACUUGGGGCCCACCUUAAUUCACCACAUACUGUGCUAAAUGCUGGGGACGUGGAGGUGGGCACAACACGGUCCCUGCCCACCAGGAGCCCACAGUUUGGCAAGGGACUGACCAUGCUUGGGAUUUCACCACGUUGGGGCAGCGCUGUGACAGGCUAACAGGUGGGUGUAGUGAGGUCACUUAGAGGAUGUUGGUUCACAAACCCGGGAGCAUUUGGAGUGUAGUCUGAAACUGACCGCACGCACAGAAGACAGGGAGAGACCGAAGACAGAGGCGGGUCACCCCACGUUGGUAAGUGGCAGGUUGAAUAAGCAAGAGAACUUACUUUGUAAGCCUGAUCUUGAGUGCCUCAAGAUGAAUAGAUACCUGAACCCACCUUCUAGAAUCUUAAAAGUUUAGAGAAAGGCCUUUGUGAGGUUCGGUCAUAUCCGCCGUCGAGGCGGUCUCCACAACACCUGUCCCUGAAGACGGCUCCCUCUGUGGGAACAGGGUGUGGGAGAGACUGCAUGUACAUUCCCAGGACAGGGGAGGGGGAGAAGGCCCUCCACUUCCCCGGGGUCAGCUCUCGGGUCAGCCGGCAGUCACGUCUUCCUGAUGACCUCCUCCACCGGAGGGCAGCUCCUGGGGGACAGGUGUCCUGGGAUCUCAGGGAGAACUAGGUGAGGGCAGGGGGGUGGGUGCGGUGUGCAGGAGGCGUGAGCCCAUCCGGUUCACGUACCACCUGCUAAGCCGGGUGGAGCAGACUGUGGUCUUCGCUCUGGAUGCUGGCAGAGGCAACGGCGACAUUUGCAUGCUGGCCAGACCACUCCGGCAGCCUCGGGAGGCCGGCGCUGGGGUGUCCAGACUGAAGGCCAUGUUCCUUCUGGGAAUCCAGCAGAGGCCAGGGGUCUGACCUAAAGAAGGAGCAGAAGUGAGACAUCUGGGCAGGCAUCCCCCAUCUUUCAUGGCAAGGCCGGCAGAAGCGUGAUAGGUUGACAGAAAAACCUUUGAUCCCCGAAGGCCUCACAACGGGUUCAGGGUUGGUAACAUCUUCCCUCAGAUCCCUUGUUUUGUGAGGGAGAACGUUUAACCAUGCUCAGCCCGGUUUCUCGAAGGUACCAUAGUGAGAUUGUUUUUAUUAAAAAAAAAAAAAAAAAAAAGUGACUAACGUUUGUUUAUUUUUGAGAGCAAGCGAGACAGAGUGCCAG
This is a long non-coding RNA of Herpailurus yagouaroundi (jaguarundi), 3210 nucleotides long. RefSeq lists it as uncharacterized. NCBI's taxonomy places the organism in Eukaryota, Metazoa, Chordata, Mammalia, Carnivora, Felidae. The record is from RefSeq and is a predicted model, not a curated record. The transcript has 2 exons.